AUGCUGAACCUCUUUUUUUUUUUUUUUUUUGAGACAGAGUCUCACUAUGUCACCCAUGCUGGAGUGCAGUGGCGCCAUCUUGGCUCACUUCAAGCUCCGCCUCCCGGGUUCACGCCUCCUGCCUCAGUCUCCCGAGUAGCUGGGACUACAGGCGCCCGCCACCACGCCCGGCUAAUUUUUUGUAUUUUUAGUAGGAAUGGAGUUUCACCGUGUUAGCCAGGAUGGUCUCUAUCUCCUGACCUGGUAAUCUGCCCGCCUCGGCCUCCCAAAGUGCUGGGAUUACAGGCCUGAGCCACCGCGCCCGGCCAGCUCUGACUUUUUCCAUUUGAAACUCUUACUGUAAGAGUUUUCCACGGCCAGGCGCUGUGACUCACACCCGUAAUCCCAGUACUUUGGAAGGCAGAGGCGGAGGGAUCACUUGAGGUGAGGAGUUUGAGACCAGCCUGCCGACAUGGCGAAAACCCAUCUCUACCAAAAACACAAAAAUUAGCCAGGCACGGUGAUGUGCACCUGUAACCCCAGCUAUUCAGGAGGCUGAGGUAGGAGGACUGCUUGAACCCGGGAGUCAGAGGCUGCAGUGAGCCAAUAUCACGCCACUGCCCUCCAGCCUGGGAUACAGAGCGAGACUUCCUUCUCAAAAAGAAAAAAAAAAAAAAAAAAAGAUUUGGACGGUUACUCAUCCUCUCUAUGCCUCUGUUUCAUAAUCUGUAAAAUGCAACAACACAUACAUUGGUUUGUACGGGAAAUUUAAUGUGGUAAUUUGUGUGUGUGUGCACGAAAUAACGAAACAUGUAGCAUAAAACAUUGCAAAAGGAAAAAGAAAUCUUCAUAAGGACGAUCAGUCUUAAGCCUCAAGGUGUUAGUGUAGUAUCUGUUACUGCAUUAUCCCCUCUGUGGUGUUUGCAAUAAGACAGUAUGCUUGUUUCUUUUCCUUACUCCCCAAAGUGAAGGCAUUAGAACUAGAAAUCAGGGUUUUGUCUGUUUUUGACCAAGUGCUUCUUAGGUGGACAGCAAGUCAUUUUGAUAGGACCUCUGCUUCUCAGGGACCCUUACCCAAACUGAGAUAGAAGAAAUCACCUUUUAACAUCUUGCAUUUACUUGUGAAGUCAGAACAAAGGAAAAAGGAUCAUCAUAAAAAUUAUAUUUUCCAUCAGUUUGGUGGUAAAUUUGAGGAACUGUCUUAGCAGAUAAUUAGAGCACCUUUUCAUGAUAAAAGUAUACUACCUGCAUGAUUUAGUCUCUGUUUUGUACAGAAUUUGACGAAUUUGACCAAAUCAUUGACCUUGAGCUUCAUUUUUUUUCUACUGUCCUUGGAUCCUUUAUUCUUCUGUGAAAAUAUUUUCCAAGGUAGAAUUGUUUAAUUUACAGCUCUAGAUGAAACAGCACACAAAAUUAUGAAACAUGUACAACAGGUGGAAAGUGAGGUGACUGAUGUUAGAAAGUACACAUAGAUAGUAAAAAUUGUUCAUUGUUAUGCAUUUCUUUUAAUGGCAGUGAAUAAUUAACACAUUAGUCCAUAAUGUUAUGUAUAUUAUUGCUUAGGACCAUGUUGUAAAAAUGCAAGAGUGAAUGAAACCAAUAAUAUUAGUUAAUAGUACAAGUGGAAUGGGGGCAUGGUCCAGGGAUGCCUGAUGUCUGGGAAACCCUGAGAUCAAGAGCUGGGCUUGCCUAAUUCAACAGCCUACUUGCCUAAAUUUCUCAAUUUGUGAUAAUUCCUUUAUUUCUCAACACUAGUCACUAUGACUGGUAUUUUUUAGUAAAUGGUACCUUUUCUUCAAAGGGAUUCUUGGCCUCUUACCCUGUCAAGACAUGCUCUUCCUUUGAAACCAGGAUAUUUUCCUUCAUGGAGCAUCAUUUCUUACUCCAUCUCUUUGUAUCUCCUAUUUGGCUCACAUCCUUCCCUUAAAAGGAACAAGCUUGGUGGUCCAUCUAAAGUAAUGGACUUAAAAAAGUAGAUUAGAGUUUCACUCCAAACUCUGCUAUUCACUAACAUGGGACCUCAAACAAGGCACUUUUCUCCUCUUUUCUACCAGGGAAAUGAUAUUAAUAUUCUUUGUUUCUUAUAUCACAAAUACACAAACCUAGUAAGUCUGAUGGUGGGACACUCUGCAUCUUGAGCACAGGUGAAAGUCCAUGGUGUCUCUAAAAUAGUAGAAACAAGGGUUACCUACAAGACAGUCCUGUUGUGAGCCUUAAUAAAAAUGGCUUGAAUGAAAUGGCUUCACCCAUGUGCUGUUGGGUUCCUUCUUUUUUCCAAUGCUCAAUGAAAAAUUACAGUGUAUGUAAAUGUUCAGUAGGUGAUGCUGAAAUUUUCUUGGCUAGAUAGCACCUGCCAAACAAAGCUUCCUCUUGGAUGUAGUGAGUUUUGAGCCCCUUGAUCACCUAUUAGUCUAGAGGUAGGUGAAGGGAAGGGAGAUAGCCAAGAAGAGGAACUAUUACAUUGUUGUUUGUUAACUGAGAGAUAUCUUCCAGGCUAUUAACCAGUCCUCUAAUCUAGAUCUCAGGGGCUUGAGAUCAUCCUAUAGUAUCUGCGCUAAUGCUUUCUCUUGCUCCAUUAAAUGACAGUUCUAAAUGACAGGACCUCACAUCUUCUCUACAAUAAAAUAGAUUACAAGCAUGUUUUUUUUUUGUUGCAUAGUUUAAAAAUAAUGAUGUAAUCUGUAUAUAAUAAUUUUAUCUCCUGACCUCGUGAUCCACCCGUCUCGGCCUCCCAAAGUGCUGGGAUUACAGGCUUGAGCCACCGCGCCCGGCCUGAAACCCCCAUCUCUACUAAAGAAAACACAAAAAUUAGCCAGACGUGGUGGCUCACGCCUGUAAUCCCAGCUACUCAGGAGGCUGAGGCAGGAAAAUCUCUUGAACCCUGGAGACAAA
This is a long non-coding RNA of Papio anubis (olive baboon), 2871 nucleotides long. The record is from Ensembl. NCBI's taxonomy places the organism in Eukaryota, Metazoa, Chordata, Mammalia, Primates, Cercopithecidae.